GCAGACGGCAGCUGGCAGCUGGCAACACACACAUACUGGGUGUUGAGGCAAACAGAGUAGAGUAGAGUAGCGCACAGGAGCCCCAGGACACGCAGGAUUCACAGGAAUCAUGGGAAUCACAGGAAUCACAGGCACACAGAUCAGCGAACCGGGAACCAACUGAUUGACUGCUCCAGCCGAUGUCCUGAUAUCCUGAUGUCUGCUAUCCUGAUGCCUGCUAUCCUGAUGCCUGUAAGUAGGCAACUGGUUUUGUUUACCCACUCGAGGAAUUGAUUGUCAUUGCCGGGCUGCCACAAAUAUCUGACACCAAAAAGGAUUGUUGCACCUGCAUUUCUGCAUUUUCCUGUGCAACGACACAUUUCGUGUGUUAAUGUAAAUAUAAUUGGGAGCUAACUUACCGUUCUUUGCAAAUGCCAGACAAUCGUGUGCUGGUCAAGAGGACAAAGCUGAGCUGGAGCCGCAAUUGUUGACUGACCAAUGAUCAAUUUAAUAGGAAAACAAUAUUGAUGGCCGGGCCGAGUGGCACUUGGCUGGCAUUUCCUGGCCCAAGGAGUGGAGGAUGCUCGAAAGGCGGAAGUGUUGCGGUUUUUGGUUAAAUUCAAUGGGGUACGAGUAGCAAAGUCCGGAGUUUUGUUUGUUUGCCUCGAAAACUUGGCAAACUUUUGGUGUUGUGUGUGUGUUGUAACUAAAUUUUCGAGAGGACAAAGGGCAACACUUUCACUUCGUCUCGGGGAGAACUCUCUGUGUUUGGUUUCUUGUGGUUUAUUAUUCACGCCUGAAUUGAUUGUAAAUUAAAGUUUGUGUCGUUGUGCAUUUUGA
This is a long non-coding RNA of Drosophila teissieri, 819 nucleotides long. RefSeq lists it as uncharacterized. The record is from RefSeq and is a predicted model, not a curated record. Lineage: Eukaryota; Metazoa; Arthropoda; Insecta; Diptera; Drosophilidae. The transcript is spliced from 3 exons.